RNAcentral lists this ribosomal RNA (476 nucleotides) under uncultured bacterium. Its description in RNAcentral is "partial 16S ribosomal RNA". It matches the Rfam family "Bacterial small subunit ribosomal RNA", at positions 28 to 523 of the family's 1533-position model. The record is from RNAcentral.
GAUGAACGCUGGCGGCGUGCUUAACACAUGCAAGUCGAGCGAGUGAGUUCUUCGGAACGAUCUAGCGGCGGACGGGUGAGUAACACGUGGGCAACCUGCCUCAUAGAGGGGAAUAGCCUCCCGAAAGGGAGAUUAAUACCGCAUAAAAUUAUCGAGUGGCAUCACAUGAUAAUCAAAGGAGUAAUCCGCUAUGAGAUGGGCCCGCGGCGCAUUAGCUAGUUGGUGAGGUAACGGCUCACCAAGGCGACGAUGCGUAGCCGACCUGAGAGGGUGAUCGGCCACAUUGGGACUGAGACACGGCCCAGACUCCUACGGGAGGCAGCAGUGGGGAAUAUUGCACAACGGGGGAAACCCUGAUGCAGCAACGCCGCGUGAGUGAUGAAGGUCUUCGGAUUGUAAAGCUCUGUCUUUGGGGACGAUAAUGACGGUACCCAAGGAGGAAGUCACGGCUAACUACGUGCCAGCAGCCGCCGUAA